This is a long non-coding RNA of Gasterosteus aculeatus aculeatus (three-spined stickleback), 753 nucleotides long. The record is from Ensembl. NCBI's taxonomy places the organism in Eukaryota, Metazoa, Chordata, Actinopteri, Perciformes, Gasterosteidae.
AAAUGUGUUGGAGCGGGUUGUGCAAAUGUAGCUGUGUGAACCAGAGAGAAUUAGCCCAGCGGGUCUUUUGUCCUCUGGCUUCUACGCAGCGGCCUGUGGGAAUCAAAUCGGAUUUCUGAAGAAGCUUAAUCGAAGAAAAAAAAACUACUUGACGACGGAAGAAACUGAAUCACUGCACACACAGCUGUAAACAGGGUGAAAGUGGUCCCACCCCAAACAUUCCAGUACCCCGCCUCAUUCAACUAUAUCCAUCCCUGCGAGCCGGUCCGGCUGCACAGCUCCUAAUGUUCACCAAGGAGGUAAGAAGGUGCGUUGGUGGGUCUGCUGGCUCUGGGUUCUGAUGCGGCCACAGCGGGCUGCUUGCAGAACCGGGUUUUGGUGGGCUGCUCGUUAUGCAAGAGGUUAGUCAUCAUGGUAUGAUUCACCCACUGUUUCACUCUUUUAUUCUCUGUACCCUUUCACCGCUCUUAAACUCUUCAGGGGAACACAAGGGGACAGAAUUAGACACCGGCAUGUUUUCCAUUUCACUGUACUGUCAGUGGUAAAAACAGGUAAAAACAGGAAGCCAGAUAAGUUAAUGAGAGUCCAUUUUUUAGGGAGGCCAUUAGCCUCAGAAGAUGGAAGCCAAAGUCACAAGGUGGAAACUGUCACAAUAUAGGUUAUCCAGGUCAACAGAUCAGAUCAGACUCAGUUAAAAAACGUUUUUUAAAUUACGUUUUUUUUUUGUUAAUUGAAGUAUUGGACAGUUCAGAC